CAAAUUGAGAGUUUGAUCCUGGCUCAGGAUGAACGCUGGCGGCGUGCCUAAUACAUGCAAGUCGAACGCUUUGUGGUUCAACUGAUUUGAAGAGCUUGCUCAGAUAUGACGAUGGACAUUGCAAAGAGUGGCGAACGGGUGAGUAACACGUGGGAAACCUACCUCUUAGCAGGGGAUAACAUUUGGAAACAGAUGCUAAUACCGUAUAACAAUAGCAACCGCAUGGUUGCUACUUAAAAGAUGGUUCUGCUAUCACUAAGAGAUGGUCCCGCGGUGCAUUAGUUAGUUGG
Molecule: ribosomal RNA, 290 nt
Filed under: Weissella cibaria
Lineage: Bacteria; Bacillati; Bacillota; Bacilli; Lactobacillales; Lactobacillaceae
Description: partial 16S ribosomal RNA
Rfam family: Bacterial small subunit ribosomal RNA
Source: RNAcentral